GACGAACGCUGGCGGCGUGCUUAACACAUGCAAGUCGAACGGAAAGGCCCUGCUUUUGUGGGGUGCUCGAGUGGCGAACGGGUGAGUAACACGUGAGUAACCUGCCCUUGACUUUGGGAUAAUUUCAGGAAACUGGGGCUAAUACCGGAUAGGGGCUCCUGCUGCAUGGUGGGGGUUGGAAAGUUUCGGCGGUUGGGGAUGGACUCGCGGCUUAUCAGCUUGUUGGUGGGGUAGUGGCUUACCAAGGCUUUGACGGGUAGCCGGCCUGAGAGGGUGACCGGCCACAUUGGGACUGAGAUACGGCCCAGACUCCUACGGGAGGCAGCAGUGGGGAAUAUUGCACAAUGGGCGGAAGCCUGAUGCAGCAACGCCGCGUGCGGGAUGACGGCCUUCGGGUUGUAAACCGCUUUCGCCUGUGACGAAGCGUGAGUGACGGUAAUGGGUAAAGAAGCACCGGCUAACUACGUG
RNAcentral lists this ribosomal RNA (468 nucleotides) under uncultured bacterium. RNAcentral describes it as "partial 16S ribosomal RNA". It matches the Rfam family "Bacterial small subunit ribosomal RNA", at positions 28 to 507 of the family's 1533-position model. The record is from RNAcentral.